GGGUGUUGUGCUGGCUUGUGCUCCUUCGAAUUCCAGAUUCAAUUUUCAAACAGCCACGCGUCAUCGCUCUCGCGCAUCGCGCGAGGUGAGCUUCUCAUUCUGCCCCUAACAGCGAGGGGCAUGGAGCGCCGCGAGGCGCACCUUGUAUCGUUUCGCUUCCGGCAUCGCGUGCGAGGCGAUGAAACUCCGGAAAGCGCAUCGCCUUGCGGCGCUCCAUUGCGGCGAUUUUGGGCGAGGGGACCGUACUUCCGGGUGCGGACGGGGGAGGUUACUCGACCCCUGAGGGGUUUCGCCGCUUUCGUCCGCUCCGCGUCCAGCCGGCGAACGGCAGAGCCACGUAGUUGGCCCGGACGGUGACCCCAGCCUCCCGGACGCGUGUGUGCGAGACACGCGCGCAGGCGCCGCAUCCUGCUCCGCCUUGAAGACGCCUCUAGAAAGCGCCCCUCACGAACAGGACGUGACGAACUUAAGCGCGCUUCAGAAC
Molecule: unclassified non-coding RNA, 484 nt
Filed under: Hevea brasiliensis (rubber tree)
Lineage: Eukaryota; Viridiplantae; Streptophyta; Magnoliopsida; Malpighiales; Euphorbiaceae
Source: RNAcentral